This 830-nucleotide unclassified non-coding RNA is filed under the name Hevea brasiliensis (rubber tree). Lineage: Eukaryota; Viridiplantae; Streptophyta; Magnoliopsida; Malpighiales; Euphorbiaceae. The record is from RNAcentral.
UGGGAACAUUGUUUAUGAGACAUCGAAUGUGUUUGACCGGAUGGUGGUUGUGCUAAAUGACAUUCAUAUUGACAUCAUGGAUUAUAUAUCCCCUGCAGUGUGCAGUGAUGCUGCUUUUAGAACCAUGUGGGCAGAAUUUGAGUGGGAAAACAAGGUUGCUGUCAACACUGUCAUUCAAGAUGAAAAAGGAUUUCUUGACCAUAUUAUCAAAUCAACCAACAUGAAGUGUCUGACUGCACCAUCUGCUCUGGAAGAUGAAUGUGGAUUCCUUGCUGCUAAUCUUUAUGCAAAGAGUGUGUUUGGAGAGGAUGCUUUGGUGAAUUUGAGCAUUGAAAAGCAAUCAGAUGGUAAGCUGAGUGGUUAUAUUAGAAUAAGAAGCAAAACACAAGGAAUUGCUCUUAGCUUGGGAGACAAAAUAACACUCAAGCAGAAGGGAGGCAAUUGAUCUUAUUGUGUUGUUAUGGUCCUCUCCUAGACAGCAAAGGUCAUUAAAACAUGAAACUGAGACUCCUUCACAUCUCCCAUUUGUAGCUUGGAGGAGUGCUGGGGUUAUUGAGUUAAAAACCUGUAGAAAUUGUAUUACUGCACUUACUUUUAGAUUCGGAUCCGCGAAAUUCGAGCAUUUUACUCUUCUUUGAGGACAUUUUUUGGUAGAGAAAAUUGGAAAGAGAGUAGUGCUGCUUUAUCUCUGUGUUGUAAGUUAACUGAAUUUGGUACAAGUCACUCUUUGCUUGUUACUUUCUGUUAACUUCCAAUUCCUGAUUUCCAUUUUUUUUUUUGUAAACAAAGGUCAACUCAGUUUCCAUUGCCAUAUUAUAUAUUGAAAUUUU